GAUGAACGCUGGCGGCGUGCCUAAUACAUGCAAGUCGAGCGAACGGACGAGAAGCUUGCUUCUCUGAUGUUAGCGGCGGACGGGUGAGUAACACGUGGAUAACCUACCUAUAAGACUGGGAUAACUUCGGGAAACCGGAGCUAAUACCGGAUAAUAUUUUGAACCGCAUGGUUCAAAAGUGAAAGACGGUCUUGCUGUCACUUAUAGAUGGAUCCGCGCUGCAUUAGCUAGUUGGUAAGGUAACGGCUUACCAAGGCAACGAUGCAUAGCCGACCUGAGAGGGUGAUCGGCCACACUGGAACUGAGACACGGUCCAGACUCCCACGGGAGGCAGCAGUAGGGAAUCUUCCGCAAUGGGCGAAAGCCUGACGGAGCAACGCCGCGUGAGUGAUGAAGGUCUUCGGAUCGUAAAACUCUGUUAUUAGGGAAGAACAUAUGUGUAAGUAACUGUGCACAUCUUGACGGUACCUAAUCAGAAAGCCACGGCUAACUACGUGCCAGCAGCCGCGGUAAUACGUAGGUGGCAAGCGUUAUCCGGAAUUAUUGGGCGUAAAGCGCGCGUAGGCGGUUUUUUAAGUCUGAUGUGAAAGCCCACGGCUCAACCGUGGAGGGUCAUUGGAAACUGGAAAACUUGAGUGCAGAAGAGGAAAGUGGAAUUCCAUGUGUAGCGGUGAAAUGCGCAGAGAUAUGGAGGAACACCAGUGGCGAAGGCGACUUUCUGGUCUGUAACUGACGCUGAUGUGCGAAAGCGUGGGGAUCAAACAGGAUUAGAUACCCUGGUAGUCCACGCCGUAAACGAUGAGUGCUAAGUGUUAGGGGGUUUCCGCCCCUUAGUGCUGCAGCUAACGCAUUAAGCACUCCGCCUGGGGAGUACGACCGCAAGGUUGAAACUCAAAGGAAUUGACGGGGACCCGCACAAGCGGUGGAGCAUGUGGUUUAAUUCGAAGCAACGCGAAGAACCUUACCAAAUCUUGACAUCCUUUGACAACUCUAGAGAUAGAGCCUUCCCCUUCGGGGGACAAAGUGACAGGUGGUGCAUAGUUGUCGUCAGCUCGUGUCGUGAGAUGUUGGGUUAAGUCCCGCAACGAGCGCAACCCUUAAGCUUAGUUGCCAUCAUUAAGUUGGGCACUCUAAGUUGACUGCCGGUGACAAACCGGAGGAAGGUGGGGAUGACGUCAAAUCAUCAUGCCCCUUAUGAUUUGGGCUACACACGUGCUACAAUGGACAAUACAAAGGGCAGCGAAACCGCGAGGUCAAGCAAAUCCCAUAAAGUUGUUCUCAGUUCGGAUUGUAGUCUGCAACUCGACUACAUGAAGCUGGAAUCGCUAGUAAUCGUAGAUCAGCAUGCUACGGUGAAUACGUUCCCGGGUCU
RNAcentral lists this ribosomal RNA (1372 nucleotides) under uncultured bacterium. RNAcentral describes it as "bacterial SSU rRNA". It matches the Rfam family "Bacterial small subunit ribosomal RNA", at positions 28 to 1381 of the family's 1533-position model. The record is from RNAcentral.